GAUGAAGAACGCAGUGAAAUGCGAUAAGUAAUGUGAAUUGCAGAAUUCAGUGAAUCAUCGAAUCUUUGAACGCACAUUGCGCCCGGCAGCAAUCUGCCGGGCAUGCCUGUCCGAGCGUCAUUUCUUCCCUCGAGCGCGGCUAGCCCUACGGGGCCUGCCGUCGCCCGGUGUUGGGGCUCUACGGGUGGGGCUCGUCCCCCCCGCAGUCCCCGAAAUGUAGUGGCGGUCCAGCCGCGGCGCCCCCUGCGUAGUAGAUCCUACAUCUCGCAUCGGGUCCCGGCGAAGGCCAGCCGUCGAACCUUUUAUUUCAUGGUUUGACCUCGGAUCAGGUAGGGUUACCCGCUGAACUUAAGCAUAUCAAUAAGCGGAGGA
Molecule: unclassified non-coding RNA, 372 nt
Filed under: soil metagenome
Description: partial contains 5.8S ribosomal RNA, internal transcribed spacer 2, and large subunit ribosomal RNA
Rfam family: 5.8S ribosomal RNA (bases 1-120)
Source: RNAcentral